GGAGGGGCGCGCCAGGGAAGGAGUGGAGAAAAGUAGGCUAGGAGGAGCGUUGAAAAUAUCGUGACAAGUAGUUUCCGUGCGCCCGAGAGCGUGUGAAUUGCGCCUAAUUACCGUGUCCGAUCCUCUUGCUCGCAAGACGCGCAUUCGUCUGUCGGUCCUUCCGGGCCUGAAACAGUGUCACCACGAACUCCCAAGAGUAGUUUUAACUUUCACCUUCUCCCCAACUGCGUCACGGCCUUGAGGAACAGUUCGAUCUGCAGAGGAGAGUAAAGCAAAUUUGUUUAACUAAUGGAGGAAAGGAGUUUUCCGAAAAGUCGUUCUCUCUCCAUUCUCGACCGUGCGUUUCCGUGAUGUUCUUUAGAACCUUCAAGGCCCCGGGGUUUUGGCCAGCGCCGCCUGGGG
This is a long non-coding RNA of Mustela lutreola (European mink), 402 nucleotides long. RefSeq lists it as uncharacterized. Lineage: Eukaryota; Metazoa; Chordata; Mammalia; Carnivora; Mustelidae. The record is from RefSeq and is a predicted model, not a curated record. The transcript has 3 exons.